Neocloeon triangulifer is the source of this 1426-nucleotide long non-coding RNA. RefSeq lists it as uncharacterized. NCBI's taxonomy places the organism in Eukaryota, Metazoa, Arthropoda, Insecta, Ephemeroptera, Baetidae. The record is from RefSeq and is a predicted model, not a curated record. The transcript has 6 exons.
GAAAGAUGGCGGACACGGGAGUGUCGCCGUUUGCCAAAAAAGACGCGACGAUUUCACGGAUUUUGACAGCAGCGGUGGAAAAUUUCCAACCACCGUGAAGCUCAUGACUGGCGUCCAGUGGCUUAAAUUGGACAAAACGAAUCUGUCAACUGUUCCUGAAGAAAUGGGGAAACUUGUGAAACUUGAAAAUCUGUCGAUGAAAGGAAACAACCUGGACCGUCUGUACGGCGAGUUGACAGACCUGAACUGCCUGCGGAGUUUGAAUUUGCGACGGAACAAGGUGAAGACCUCGGGCGUGCCUGCGGAGCUCUUCAAGCUGGAGGAACUGCCCACCCUGGACCUGAGCCACAACAACCUGAGGGAGGUUCCUGCUGGCAUGGAAACGGUCAGGUCGCUGCUGGUGCUCAACUGUGCUCAACCUGAGCCACAAUCUCCAUAAAUCCAAGGGCUGAACCAGGUCAAAUUUCCCAUUUCUGCUUCAACAUCGAAACCGAACGGAAACUGAGUCUGGAGACGACCGUGCUCGUCGAGCCCUACACCCUGCCGGACGGCCGAGUCAUCAAAGUGGGUGGGGAGCGAUUCGAAGCGCCCGAGGCUCUCUUCCAGCCUCACCUCAUCAAGGACAAGGUAUCGCCGAACUGGUGUUCAACACCAUCCAGACGGCGGACAUUGACAUGCGCUCCGAGCUGUACAAACACAUUGUCCUGUCAGGAGGCUCAACCAUGUACCCCGGUCUUCCAAGUCGACUCGAACGAGAAAUCAAACAACUCUAUCUGGAGCGGGUCCUAAAAAAUGACAUAGAUAAACUAUCUAAAUUCAAAAUCAGGAUCGAGGACCCGCCGAGGAGAAAGGACAUGGUGUUCAUCGGAGGAGCCGUUCUGGCCGAAGUCAUGAAGGACAGGGAGACGUUUUGGAUGACGAGCGAGGAGUACCAGGAAAAGGGCGUCCACGUCCUCAGCAAACUCGGGGCGCGCUCAAAUUAAUUAAUUCGAGGCCAUUUCUACUCUGCAUUUACCUUUCCUGUGUUAAUCAUUUGUUUUUUUUGUCACUAAGCAAUACUCUUUUGUAGGUUUUUUUUUUUAAAUUUAAAAAAAAUGUUUGAACAAAGAUAAUUUUUAUGUUUCUUUUUCAGCUGCACCUUUUUUGUAAAGCAAAACUAGUACCAAAUGCUAAUUUGCAUAAUAACAUUUUCCUUUAAAAUAAAAUCGCAAUUGAUUUGUAUGUUUUGAUCUUUCUGCUAUUUUCAUCCUUGAUGUGAUGUUUCAUUUCUUUUUGUAUUAGCGAAAAAAAAAUAAUAAGAAAUCUUUUGAUCCUGUUGGGUGCCAUAAUAUUGUCAAGUUCACUGAACUCUUCGUUUGGUUCAUUUCUGUCAAAAUCAGAACUUCAUGAUUUUGUAGAUCAAAAAAAUUAAAGUGAUUAUUUUACU